GGAUGCGAUCAUACCAGCACUAAACCACCGGAUCUCUUCAGAACUCCGAAGUUAAGCGUGCUUGGGCGAGAGUAAUUCUAGGGUGAGUGACCUCCUGGGAAGUCCUCGCGCUGCGCGUUCC
Molecule: ribosomal RNA, 121 nt
Filed under: Oryza punctata
Lineage: Eukaryota; Viridiplantae; Streptophyta; Magnoliopsida; Poales; Poaceae
Source: RNAcentral